RNAcentral lists this ribosomal RNA (987 nucleotides) under human oral metagenome. RNAcentral describes it as "bacterial LSU rRNA". It matches the Rfam family "Bacterial large subunit ribosomal RNA", at positions 1945 to 2925 of the family's 2925-position model. The record is from RNAcentral.
ACCAUCCUAAGGUAGCGAAAUUCCUUGUCGGGUAAGUUCCGACCUGCACGAAUGGAGUAACGACUUCCCUACUGUCUCAACCAUGAACUCGGUGAAAUUGCAGUACGAGUAAAGAUGCUCGUUUCGCGCAGCAGGACGGAAAGACCCCGUGACCUUUACUAUAGUUUGGUAUUGGUGUUUGGGUUGGCUUGUGUAGGAUAGGUGGGAGACUGUGAAGCCGUCACGCUAGUGGUGGUGGAGUCGUUGUUGAAAUACCACUCUGGUCAAUCUGGAUGUCUAACUUCGGGCCAUGAUCUGGUUCAGGGACAGUGCCUGAUGGGUAGUUUAACUGGGGCGGUUGCCUCCUAAAGUGUAACGGAGGCGCCCAAAGGUUCCCUCAGCCUGGUUGGCAAUCAGGUGUUGAGUGUAAGUGCACAAGGGAGCUUGACUGUGAGAGUGGCGACUCGAGCAGGGACGAAAGUCGGGACUAGUGAUCCGGCAGUGGCUUGUGGAAGCGCUGUCGCUCAACGGAUAAAAGGUACCUCGGGGAUAACAGGCUGAUCUUGCCCAAGAGUCCAUAUCGACGGCAUGGUUUGGCACCUCGAUGUCGGCUCGUCGCAUCCUGGGGCUGGAGUCGGUCCCAAGGGUUGGGCUGUUCGCCCAUUAAAGCGGUACGCGAGCUGGGUUCAGAACGUCGUGAGACAGUUCGGUCCCUAUCCGCUGCGCGCGUUGGAGAAUUGAGAAAGGCUGUCCUUAGUACGAGAGGACCGGGACGGACGAACCUCUGGUAUGUCAGUUGUACCGCCAGGUGCAUGGCUGAUUGGCUACGUUCGGGAGGGAUAACCGCUGAAAGCAUCUAAGCGGGAAGCCUGUUUCGAGAUGAGAUUUCCUGGCACUUUUUGGUGUGUGAGGCUCCUUAUAGAUGAUGAGGUUGAUAGGCCGGGUAUGGAAGCGGGGACUGAAGACUCGUGGAGUUGACUGGUACUAAUAGGCCGAAGGCUUACUUUU